UGUCCAUAAUUUAGCUGCUUCCAGGGC
This 27-nucleotide small RNA is filed under the name Bombyx mori (domestic silkworm). RNAcentral's name for it is "ovarian small RNA-35669". Lineage: Eukaryota; Metazoa; Arthropoda; Insecta; Lepidoptera; Bombycidae. The record is from RNAcentral.